This 1243-nucleotide ribosomal RNA is filed under the name metagenome. RNAcentral describes it as "bacterial LSU rRNA". It matches the Rfam family "Bacterial large subunit ribosomal RNA", at positions 1564 to 2816 of the family's 2925-position model. The record is from RNAcentral.
UGAGUACGAGAUGCUACGGCAUCGAAGCAGUCUAUGUCAUACUUCCAAGAAAAGCUUGCAAUGUCAUAAACAAAUAAUGCCUGUACCAUAACCGACACAGGUGGGUAGGUAGAGUAUACUAAGGGGCGCGAGAUAACACUCUCUAAGGAACUCGGCAAAAUGACUCCGUAACUUCGGGAGAAGGAGUGCCUUAUUUUUAUAAGGUUGCAAUAACAAGAUCCAAGCAACUGUUUACCAAAAACACAGGUCUCCGCUAAGUCGUAAGACGAUGUAUGGGGGCUGACGCCUGCCCAGUGCCAGAAGGUUAAAGAAGUUGGUUAGCAUUAGCGAAGCUGAUAACUGAAGCCCUGGUGAACGGCGGCCGUAACGAUACGGUCCUAAGGUAGCGAAAUUCCUUGUCGGGUAAGUUCCGACCCGCACGAAAGGCGUAAUGAUUUGGAUACUGUCUCGGAGAGGGGCUCGGUGAAAUAGACUUGUCUGUGAAGAUGCGGACUACCUGCACCUGGACAGAAAGACCCUAUGAAGCUUUGCUGUAACUUGAGAUUGAAAUUGGACUUUAUCUGCGCAGUAUAGGUGGGAGACGUUGAAAAUAUUCUUGCGGGAAUAUUGGAGUCAUCAGUGAGAUACCACUCUUAUAAUGUUAGAUUUCUAACUUUGUAUCAUUAUCUGGUCAAAGAACAGUUUCAGGCGGGCAGUUUGACUGGGGCGGUCGCCUCCCAAACGGUAACGGAGGCGCACAAAGGUUUCCUCUGAACGUGUAGAAAUCGUAUCUAGAGUGUAAAGGCAUAAGGAAGCUUGACUGUGAGACCUACAAGUCGAGCAGGGACGAAAGUCGGUCUUAGUGAUCUGACGGUGCUGAGUGGAAAGGCCGUCACUCAACGGAUAAAAGUUACUCUAAGGAUAACAGGCUGAUCUCCCCCAAGAGUUCACAUCGACGGGGAGGUUUGGCACCUCGAUGUCGGCUCAUCGCAUCCUGGGGCGGUAGUACGUCCCAAGGGUUGGGCUGUUCGCCCAUGAAAGCGGUACGCGAGCUGGGUUCAGAACGUCGUGAGACAGUUCGGUCCAUAUCCGGUGUAGGCGUUAGAAUAUUGAGAGGAGCCUUCUUUAGUACGAGAGGACCGAGAAGGACAUACCUCUGGUGUACCAGUUAUCGUGCCAACGGUAAACGCUGGUAGCCAUGUAUGGAGAGGAUAACCGCUGAAAGCAUCUAAGUGGGAAGCCCACCUCAAGAUAAGUAUUCUCA